CCUACGGGAGGCAGCAGUGGGGGAUAUUGCACAAUGGGGGAAACCCUGAUGCAGCGACGCCGCGUGGGCGAAGAAGUAUUUCGGUAUGUAAAGCCCUAUCAGCAGGGAAGAAGAAAUGACGGUACCUGAGUAAGAAGCAUCGGCUAAAUACGGCCCAGCAGCCGCGGUAAUACGGAGGAUGCGAGCUUUAUCCGGAUUUAUUGGGUUUAAAGGGUGGGUAGGCGGAGCUGUAAGUCAGUGGUAAAAUUGAGGGGCUAACCCACUUCCCGCCAUUGAACCUGGCGCUCUUGAGUGGAAGAGAAGUAUGCGGAAUGCGUGGUGUAGCGGUGAAAUGCAUAGAUAUCACGCAGAACCCCGAUUGCGAAGGCAGCAUGCCGGCUUCCUACUGACGCUGAAGCUCGAAAGCGUGGGGAUCGAACAGGAUUAGAUACCCCUGUAGUC
RNAcentral lists this ribosomal RNA (441 nucleotides) under uncultured bacterium. Its description in RNAcentral is "partial 16S ribosomal RNA". It matches the Rfam family "Bacterial small subunit ribosomal RNA", at positions 338 to 795 of the family's 1533-position model. The record is from RNAcentral.